Molecule: ribosomal RNA, 412 nt
Filed under: uncultured Acidobacteriota bacterium
Lineage: Bacteria; Pseudomonadati; Acidobacteriota
Description: bacterial SSU rRNA
Rfam family: Bacterial small subunit ribosomal RNA
Source: RNAcentral
CAAUCCAUGAGUAAAGUGGCGACCGGGUGAGUAACACGUGACUAACCUACCUCCGAGUGGGGAAUAACUCCGGGAAACCGGGGCUAAUACCGCAUAACAUCGCGAGAUCAAAGCAGCAAUGCGCUUGGAGAGGGGGUCGCGGCUGAUUAGCUAGUUGGCGGGGUAACGGCCCACCAAGGCGAAGAUCGGUAUCCGGCCUGAGAGGGCGCACGGACACACUGGAACUGAAACACGGUCCAGACUCCUACGGGAGGCAGCAGUGGGGAAUUUUGCGCAAUGGGGGAAACCCUGACGCAGCAACGCCGCGUGGAGGAUGAAGCCCCUUGGGGCGUAAACUCCUUUCGACCAAGACGAUAAUGACGGUACUGGUGGAAGAAGCACCGGCUAACUCUGUGCCAGCAGCCGCGGUAAU